CAGAAGUGCGAAUGCUGACAUGAGUAACGAUAAUGGGAGUGAAAAACUCCCACGCCGGAAGACCAAGGUUUCCUGUCCCAUGCUAAUCAGGGCAGGGUAAGUCGGCCCCUAAGGCGAGGCAGAAAUGCGUAGUCGAUGGGAAACGGGUUAAUAUUCCCGUACUUGGUAUAAUUGCGAUGGGGGGACGGAGCAGGCUAAACAAGCAUGGCGUUGGUUGUCCAUGUGAAAGUGAGUAGGUUGGUGACUUAGGAAAAUCCGGGUUGCUAAGACUGAGACACGAGACGAGCCACUAAGGUGGUGAAGUUGUUGAUGCCAUACUUCCAGGAAAAGCCUCUAAGCUUCAGAUUAUACCGAAUCGUACCCCAAACCGACACAG
Molecule: ribosomal RNA, 376 nt
Filed under: Percolomonas cosmopolitus
Lineage: Eukaryota; Heterolobosea; Eutetramitea; Percolomonadida; Percolomonadidae
Description: partial Bacterial large subunit ribosomal RNA
Rfam family: Bacterial large subunit ribosomal RNA
Source: RNAcentral